Molecule: unclassified non-coding RNA, 214 nt
Filed under: Hevea brasiliensis (rubber tree)
Lineage: Eukaryota; Viridiplantae; Streptophyta; Magnoliopsida; Malpighiales; Euphorbiaceae
Source: RNAcentral
GGUGAAAUGAGAAAGAAUGGACUAGAACCUGAUGCUGUAACAUGGAGAAUACUGGAUAAAUUGCAUGGCAAUGUGGAAAAACAGUUCCGCGAGGAUUCAACAUGCAAUUAAGUUGGGGGUUUAAGAUAAGCCGGUCAUUGAAAAUUUUUUAGUCUUAAAUAAAGAGUGAAGUGACUAAAUCAAAAAGCCUGAGGGCAGCAGUUGUCUCAGUUGU